GGUGAACGCUGGCGGUAGGCCUAACACAUGCAAGUCGAACGGCAGCACAGGAGAGCUUGCUCUCUGGGUGGCGAGUGGCGGACGGGUGAGGAAUACAUCGGAGUCUACUCUGUCGUGGGGGAUAACGUAGGGAAACUUACGCUAAUACCGCAUACGACCUACGGGUGAAAGCAGGGGACCUUCGGGCCUUGCGCGAUUGAAUGAGCCGAUGUCGGAUUAGCUAGUUGGCGGGGUAAAGGCCCACCAAGGCGACGAUCCGUAGCUGGUCUGAGAGGAUGGUCAGCCACACUGGAACUGAGACACGGUCCAGACUCCUACGGGAGGCAGCAGUGGGGAAUAUUGGACAAUGGGCGCAAGCCUGAUCCAGCCAUACCGCGUGGGUGAAGAGGGCCUUCGGGUUGUAAAGCCCUUUUGUUGGGAAAGAAAUCCAGCUGGCUAAUACCCGGUUGGGAUGACGGUACCCAAAGAAUAAGCACCGGCUAACUUCGUGCCAGCCGCCGCAGUAA
Molecule: ribosomal RNA, 506 nt
Filed under: uncultured bacterium
Lineage: Bacteria
Description: partial 16S ribosomal RNA
Rfam family: Bacterial small subunit ribosomal RNA
Source: RNAcentral